This 5932-nucleotide long non-coding RNA is filed under the name Marmota monax (woodchuck). The record is from RNAcentral. Lineage: Eukaryota; Metazoa; Chordata; Mammalia; Rodentia; Sciuridae.
GGCAAUGAGGCCUGAGAAAAACCUGUCCCACAGGCCAAAGAAAGAAAAGGUUGCAAGGGCAGGGAGUGAACAGGGUUGGGAGGCCCAGGGAGAAGAGGGCUAAAACUUAACAUGGAGUUUGCAGCAGGAACUCUCUGGUGAUCUAAAAGAGACUGGAGUGGGAGGAUAAAAGCCUGUUUGGAUGAUCUCAAGAGGAAAUGAAAGAACAGUGAGCUAAGUCAGUGAGUAUAGACAGCUUUUUUGUGAGCAAUUUCCCCCCACCCCCAGAGAAAUGAUGUUGUAGCAGGAUGGAAAAGCAGCAUCAAGAGAGAGUGAUUUUGUUUUAGCCAGAGUUAUAUCUGAUGUUGAGAGUAUGACCCAGCAGAGUGUGAGAUUCCUGCUGGAGUGGAAUACCAGAAUAGGUUCAGAGGCCUGGGAUUCAGGUCAUGGGAGAGGAGGCAGGUGGAUACACAUAGAGGCCGGCAGGUGGGAGGAGGCAUCAGGAGAGGGUGGCUAUGUCCUGUGGCUAUGUUUGUUUGUAACACAAACGCAGCACUGCAUCAUUUAUAGAGACACCUUCAUUGCCUCAGUGAAGUAGAUCUUAAAUAUCUAACAUGCAAAGAAAAUAAUACUUCAAAGAGAUGAAGUAUCUUGCCUUUGGUCAGCCAUUGGGAAGGUCGGAGUUGGAGGUCAGGUCUCUAAGACCAACUGCAGACAGAGAAUGUGGGAGGGUAGCUGCUUAGAACAUCUGGAGUCAGUCGUGUGAGGUGGACAGAGCUGAGGAAACUCAGGAAGAAAUAGAUCUUGUUGCUCUGUGAACAGCAGAGGUAAGACACACCUAGGCUAAAGGCUCAUAGGAAAAAAAAAAUAGAUACAGCAAGGAAGAAAAAGCAAGAACAUUCUAAAAGGGAUAAGAUUUUAUACCUGAUUUUAAACACUUGUGUAAGGCUUGUGCCCAGAAAGCUCAAACAUUGUGACAAACCUCUUGGUGCUCAUAUCCCAAAUGUCACACACCUGAGCCAUCUCCCAAUGAUUUCAAGACCUGCAGCUAUGCAGACAUUGACUACCUUUGUUAUUUUAUGGUGGGACAUACACAGAGGCCCACAGAGCACUCUGUCAGCUGUGGAGUCCCUGCUUCUGCCUUGCCCCUUUCAGACACAAGUGUAUUGUGUCCCUUCCCCAGGUACUGCUGCCCUGCCCAUGUUCAGCAGAAGACGCCCUGUCCCAACCAAGAGCUGAUUUCCCUGCCUCUCCUGGGGUGGCCAGUUGGAGUAGGUUCUAGCGCAGCCACCGGAGAAUGUCUUAAUCCCCAGCUGAGGGGCCUUUUGUUCCCUGGUCGUAAGCGGUCCUGUGAUGCUCAGAGCCUCCGUGUUCAUGAACCUUCUGUGAACCUCUGGCCUCACCCCUAGCUGGACUUCCACCAAGACACUUAUUAUAUACCUACUGACUAGCAGUUCCAUUCAGAAGGGGCUGGGAUAUCAGGCAAAGAGAACAGGAGUAGGAAAGAGAAGAGCCAGCUUCCAGUUCCAGCUCUGCUCUGUGACCCUGAGUUAAGCCCCUCCACCUCUUUGAACUCCUUUCUUCACAUUUAUGAGAAGAGAACUCCACCACUCUGCACAGAGUUACCGGAGGUCAGGUGAGAUAAUGUGCACAGAAAUAAACUUAAAGCCCUGGACAAGGACAGGUAUUUCUGCUCUUUCUUUCCUCUACCCCUGGCCCCAGGCCACUAAAGGCACUCUUUAGAAAACCUUGGGAUUGAUGAACCAACACCUUCCAACCAGAGGGGACAAGUCUACAAUUUCAAGGUUACUGGCACAGACAAAAGGGAGCAGUACAGGACUCUUCACGCUAGACAACAGAUGGGGUGCACAAGAAAAUAUGUCCAAAUCCAGGGUUACUUGGUUCCUUCUGCAAGAGGACCCAUUAGCAUUAAAUGGCAACAAGAGGCAUUUGCAGGUUUUUACUUUUAUUGCAACUUGAUAUGUUAGAAGUAACGCCUCAUCUGGGGUCUCCCUAAAGUUAAUGAGACUGAGCGGACAGUUCAUUGACUUGCUUUGCAGAAUUUAUUUUAUGAGUGCCUCUAAUCCACAUGGCUUCUCUGCUUGGGGACUCAACUAAGGGAAACUCCAAAAAAUCCCACCAGCUUAUUCAUACUUACCAUGUUGCUUCAUAUACAACAUACACUCAAUCAACGUAAUUAUUAUUCAAUUCUGGAAAGAAAACACUGUCUUAGAGACAAAUUUAACCCAUAGGAGCGUGCACAUGGGCUCACACACACUCACGUUUGUGAAUGUAUAUCCAAAGGCUCAAGUUAUGAAUUUCCCACACAGGCAGGGUUUUCUGUUCAACUUCCUAUUAUCCAGAUUCAUUUUGCUAGGGAAGCCUCUCCCCAGCUGAAAAAAUCAAGGAUUUUCCAGCUGUCCCAGUAGAGGACCACUGUUAUUUUCUAAGACAAUGCCCCCCAGCAAGGGACAGAGUUCAGUGGGCAUGGCUGUGGGCCACAUCAACGGGAAGAGACCCUACCACUGAAUUUCCAGCUCAGUAAAGAUUCUGAUGUCCCAAAUGUGGCAUAGGAAACAUGGAGGAAAGGCCUGAAGGGACCAGAGAGGCCUCAGAGUUGACUGCACACAUGAACAGAUGACCAGUGGUGGGUGCAAUCCCUCGUAUUUGACCUCAUGUGGGACAUAGAGCCUCUGGAAUGGCUGAGGUCAGGUUUCCUCCCAGCUCAAUGAAAUGAGGACUCAGAGUUAAAUUAGGUACAGAUAGAGAGUAUAAGUAUUAUUUUAUUUAUGCACCCUGAGUAUAGAGAUAAAUUCAUAUCUAUUCCAAUGGAAAAAUGAUUUACUACCUAAAUGAACACAGCUGGUUUGUUAAAUUAAGCACUUUUAAAACCUAGUGUCCAUGGGGAAAAGCUGAGGUGGUUGGAGUGGGAUGGGUUGAGGGAGAGGUGGCAGGGAUCCUUGGAUGUGAAGAUAGUAGGAAAUUGGGUUUCUGACAUAAUCCAAGUACACAGCACCUUCUCCUCUACCAACUCUUCUGGGCUACUUGCCAGGUACCCUUAGGUUUUAGGGGACAAUGCUGAUUGUCUUUGCUUCACAUCAUUUUUUCCCAUUGCCUGAGUUACUUUUUAAUAUCCCCCAGGAAAGAAGAGUCAAAAGAGUGUGUCUAACCAGAAAGCAGCAUAAGGGCUUUGGAUGCUUAGCCAGGCUCUUUGACCUGCAAAGAACAGAGUCCCAUUCAGGUGAGUUCACCCUGCGGGAACAUGAGGACAAUCAGGGAAGCAGUGGAUAGCGUGGUGUCUCACUCAGUGGUGUGCCAGGCCUGCAGGGAAUACAGGAGCCUAGAUCAGACAUUCUCUCAGGUGUAGAAUUUCAGCAACCUCUACCCUGCACUUCACUGUUAACAUUGAUUCAGUUCCUCUCUGUCUCUACUUCCUGUCUCUACUAAUCAUGGCUGCCUCUACUCUGGUGACUUCAUGCUCAUGAUUAUUACAUACCUCUGGACUCUUCCUCAUCUUGUCUGUGUUCUACCUUCUCUUCAUUUCCUAUCCCAUCUCCGUUCCUCCUACAAACUAAUCAAUCCUCUCCCUCUAAUUCUGGUUUGAAUUUCUGAGAGAGCUUUGUGAUGCCCCUGUUUGACGGAGCUUGCAUGACAUGUGACAUCAUGGGAUGCCUACCAUUGUCCAGCCUAUGGACUUGAUAAUCUACACAUCAGCUGCCUCUGUGGGUCUAACUGGUUUAAGCUAUGGCAGGUUUCAUGGCCAUUACUUGAUUCAUUAGAAGCCAGCCCUUAGUAUGCGGCUGUAGUCAGGGCAGAUUUUCAAAGCUUAGCCUAGCUGUCUGGAUCAAUUAGGAAAUCAGAUCAGUUGUCAAUUACCUGAACCACUUUUGCAUAUCUCUUGGGUUGUACUAAAUCAUUUUCUAAAAACAAUCCAUUAUUUAACAGAUGCUCCUUCUGUUUUAAGAAAGGAGAGAACUCGAGAUGCUUGACCCAGUUUCUACUUUAAAGUGGAAGCUAUCAUGGAGCAGCAAAGUGGACUUAGAUGCCUGACAAGAGGGCCUUCUAGUUAAGACAUCAGGUUUAGCAGGUUUCUCUAUGUCAGCAGAAGAGUGCCCCAAUUCUCCCUGAAUAGGCAAGUAUCUCUUUUCUUCAUAAUGAGAAACAUACUAAGGCAGUUAAGAAGAAAAUCUACCCAAGAAUGGCUGUCCUUGCCACUCAUUUAGUUUCACUAUCCUGUAGGUCAGCAUCCAGGGCACUGACCUGGGUCUGAAGCUGUCACAUGCCUAUACAAGACAUGUCCCCAGCAAACAUCAUCUUGCAUCUAAAUCUCAGAUGAUAAUUUGGCAGAGGGUUGUCUUGCUCACCAGAAGCCUGGACAAGGUCCUGUGGCCUCUAUUGGCCUCUGGAGAACUGUUUCCUCCAGCUCUCUCUCCCCAGCAAGUGCCACUUGAGUUGGGCCCAAGGAGGCUGCAGCAAUCAAACAGGCCAGAAGAAUGAGUGCACUUGUGCUCAGUGGUGGAUCUGGAAAUUGGCUUUCUUUGGCUUUUAAUGGGAGAUUUCUCCAGCAGUUUUAUGAUUACCAAAGACAAUCAGGGCAGUUGGAAAUCUGGGAUAUUUGUACCCUUCACUCUGUUUGGGCCUCAAGCACUGAAAACAUUAAGUCAGUUCCCUAGAGGGCCUGUCCCCUGUGGAGAAAAUGUUUAAUAAUUAAAAGGCACUGUAUGUCUGUACUCAUUAAUUUAAAAAUAUUCCCUAGUCAAUAUUCUUCGCAAUGAACAUGAUUAUUUACUGCUUAGUGAUGAGCUGAACAAAUGACGGCAGUCUUUUUUCUACCACUUGCAUUUUCUAUCAGGAAUAAAUAGUAGCACUCAACUAUUCACAAUACCUAUCAGCUGCCAGUGUAACUUUAAAUAAUACACACAAACUGCUAUUUUCAGUUUCAUCAACAUUUGGUAGUAGUUUUUGGCUGCCCCUGUGUUAGUUAGCUUUUCAUUGCAGUAACCAAAAUACCUGAGAAGAACAACUUAGAAAUAAUUUAUUUUGGGUUCACAGUUUCAGAGUUUCCACGUAUGGUUGGCUGACUCCAUUGUUUGGGGCCUAAGGUGAGGCAGACUAUCAUGGAGGAAGGAUACGGUAGAGGAAAUCUGAAAGCAGAGAGAGAGUAGGAGGAACCAGGGACAAGAUAUAACACCCAAGGUCAUCCCUCUGUAAGCAAGUGGGGCACAGCCUCCAGCCAUGCCUUAUCUGUUAACAGUUAUCACACAGACUACAUUCAGAUAUCAAUGGAUUAAUCCAUUUGCUGGAUUAAUCCAGCAAAUGGAUUAAUCCACUGAUAAGGUAAGAGUCCUAAUCAUUGCCUAAAAGCCCCACCUAUGUAUCCUGGGGCUCAUGACUUCAAAAAUAAUUGGGGGAUUUCAAAACAUGAGCCUCUUGGUAGAUAUUCAAGAUCCAAACCAUAACAACCACCUACAAGUUGAGAAUCUUACAGUAAGUCCUUAACUUACUGUCCUUACUUCUUUUCUUAUCCACAUUCUGUUGUUUAUUUUCCUUUAUAUGGUUGGUGAUAAUAACAUUUAAAUGCCAUUCUACAAAUUUUAAGACUUUCACACUUUGUUUACAGGUUGAAUCUAAACACUAAUAAGCCAAUAAAUACUUUACAUUUUAACUACUAUGUAAAUACUGUUUAUCACAGAGUCAGAAGGUAUCACAUAAUUACUUUUCCUUUUCUACAGGUAAAAUGUCAUCACCUUUGGGACAUUUGGAGAACAUUGUUAGUAUCAAGUUCAAGCAGAUUCUCUGCCCUCAUACUCAAGCCAUAUCCUGGUCAUGUUACAAUAUAGUGAACCUUCUGUGUGACCCAUGACUUUGUUCUGUUUGGUUUUUCCAGAAAUUUCUAAUUGCCUUUUAUUUUUCUUAUUGAAACAUUAAUAAAGAGCUUAAGUGUCUUCGAUUA